Suricata suricatta (meerkat) is the source of this 727-nucleotide long non-coding RNA. RefSeq lists it as uncharacterized. The transcript is spliced from 4 exons. The record is from RefSeq and is a predicted model, not a curated record. Lineage: Eukaryota; Metazoa; Chordata; Mammalia; Carnivora; Herpestidae.
UAAUCUUCCACCUUAGAACCCUCACUCUUAAGAACCACACGGCACCAUAUCUAGUCUUGGGAUACCGCAAGAAGAUGGCCAUCUGCCAGGAAAAGAGCUCUCACCCAAACUCAACCAUGCUGGCACCUUGGUCACAAACUUCCAGACUCCAGAACUCUCCCUUUAGGUGAAUCCUGGGAAGAGCUACAGAUGUGUCUUCCCUAUUUGAGGGAAGGAAUGAAAUAACAAGGCUCUCUCAACAUGGCUAUUGACUUCAAGCCAAUAAUGUUCUGGAUAUAAGGUGACUGUGACCUUUGGAAUCAUGGUCAGAACUCCACCUGGUUGAGCUAUGUUUGCUUUCAGUUCUGUCUGCCGAGAAUCCAUCCAGCUUCCUUCCAGCAACAGAAGGUGCAGAGCCCAAAGACUGCUUUGCAAGAGGAGCUGUAGGUCACGUUUUGAACCAGAUAUAUCUACAGCGGCCGUGGGCACACUGCUCAUGGCUGCAGGCCUGUGGACACCCCACCCUUCUCACACUCACUGCCGAAGUGCAGGGCAUCUGAGUCUGGCUGCAGGCUGCCCCCAAGCCUAGAGCACGGCUUCCAGAGGGUGCAAGAGCCAAGGCCGGCAGCCCUGCUGCAGCACAGCUGGUGGCAUUCACCUCCCCUAGAAGGAGGCCCUACGUACUGGGCUCUCUCCUCGGCAAUCGGCACUGCAUGGACAAUACGAGUCAUAAAAUAAACUUUUAUCA